RNAcentral lists this ribosomal RNA (1402 nucleotides) under Streptomyces aureus. RNAcentral's name for it is "16S ribosomal RNA". It matches the Rfam family "Bacterial small subunit ribosomal RNA". The record is from RNAcentral. Lineage: Bacteria; Bacillati; Actinomycetota; Actinomycetes; Kitasatosporales; Streptomycetaceae.
AAGCCCUUCGGGGUGGAUUAGUGGCGAACGGGUGAGUAACACGUGGGCAAUCUGCCCUGCACUCUGGGACAAGCCCUGGAAACGGGGUCUAAUACCGGAUAACACCCCCUCUCGCAUGGGAGGGGGUUGAAAGCUCCGGCGGUGCAGGAUGAGCCCGCGGCCUAUCAGCUUGUUGGUGAGGUAGAAGCUCACCAAGGCGACGACGGGUAGCCGGCCUGAGAGGGCGACCGGCCACACUGGGACUGAGACACGGCCCAGACUCCUACGGGAGGCAGCAGUGGGGAAUAUUGCACAAUGGGCGAAAGCCUGAUGCAGCGACGCCGCGUGAGGGAUGACGGCCUUCGGGUUGUAAACCUCUUUCAGCAGGGAAGAAGCGAAAGUGACGGUACCUGCAGAAGAAGCGCCGGCUAACUACGUGCCAGCAGCCGCGGUAAUACGUAGGGCGCAAGCGUUGUCCGGAAUUAUUGGGCGUAAAGAGCUCGUAGGCGGCUUGUCACGUCGGUUGUGAAAGCCCGGGGCUUAACCCCGGGUCUGCAGUCGAUACGGGCAGGCUAGAGUGUGGUAGGGGAGAUCGGAAUUCCUGGUGUAGCGGUGAAAUGCGCAGAUAUCAGGAGGAACACCGGUGGCGAAGGCGGAUCUCUGGGCCAUUACUGACGCUGAGGAGCGAAAGCGUGGGGAGCGAACAGGAUUAGAUACCCUGGUAGUCCACGCCGUAAACGGUGGGAACUAGGUGUUGGCGACAUUCCACGUCGUCGGUGCCGCAGCUAACGCAUUAAGUUCCCCGCCUGGGGAGUACGGCCGCAAGGCUAAAACUCAARGGAAUUGACGGGGGCCCGCACAAGCAGCGGAGCAUGUGGCUUWAUUCGACGCAACGCGAAGAACCUUACCAAGGCUUGACAUAUACCGGAAAGCAUCAGAGAUGGUGCCCCCCUUGUGGUCGGUAUACAGGUGGUGCAUGGCUGUCGUCAGCUCGUGUCGUGAGAUGUUGGGUUAAGUCCCGCAACGAGCGCAACCCUUGUUCUGUGUUGCCAGCAUGCCCUUCGGGGUGAUGGGGACUCACAGGAGACUGCCGGGGUCAACUCGGAGGAAGGUGGGGACGACGUCAAGUCAUCAUGCCCCUUAUGUCUUGGGCUGCACACGUGCUACAAUGGCAGGUACAAUGAGCUGCGAUGCCGCGAGGCGGAGCGAAUCUCAAAAAGCCUGUCUCAGUUCGGAUUGGGGUCUGCAACUCGACCCCAUGAAGUCGGAGUUGCUAGUAAUCGCAGAUCAGCAUUGCUGCGGUGAAUACGUUCCCGGGCCUUGUACACACCGCCCGUCACGUCACGAAAGUCGGUAACACCCGAAGCCGGUGGCCCAACCCCCUUGUGGGGAGGGAGCUGUCGAAGGUGGGACUGGCGAUUGG